This 73-nucleotide transfer RNA is filed under the name Anguilla anguilla (European eel). RNAcentral's name for it is "tRNA-OTHER". The record is from RNAcentral. Lineage: Eukaryota; Metazoa; Chordata; Actinopteri; Anguilliformes; Anguillidae.
AGCAGGGUGGGGCAGUGGGCAGCACUGCUGCCUUACAGACAGAAAGUCCCGGGUUUGAGCCCCGACUGUGGAU